This 441-nucleotide ribosomal RNA is filed under the name uncultured bacterium. Its description in RNAcentral is "partial 16S ribosomal RNA". It matches the Rfam family "Bacterial small subunit ribosomal RNA", at positions 338 to 795 of the family's 1533-position model. The record is from RNAcentral.
CCUACGGGAGGCAGCAGUCGGGAAUAUUGCGCAAUGGAGGAAACUCUGACGCAGUGACGCCGCGUGCAGGAAGAAGGUUUUCGGAUUGUAAACUGCUUUAGAUAGGGAAGAAAAACGACAGUAUCUGUCGACUAAGCUCCGGCUAACUACGUGCCAGCAGCCGCGGUAAUACGUAGGGAGCAAGCGUUAUCCGGAUUUAUUGGGUGUAAAGUGUGCGUAGACGGAGAAGCAAGUUAGUUGUGAAAUCCCUCGGCUUAACUGAGGAACUGCAACUAAAACUACGUGCCUUGAGUACGGGAGAGGAAAGUGGAAUUCCUGGUGUAGCAGUGAAAUGCGUAGAUAUUAGGAGGGACACCAGUGGCGAAGGCGAGUUGCUGGACAGUAACUGACGUUGAGGCACGAAGGUGUGGGGAGCGAACGGGAUUAGAUACCCCAGUAGUC